CAUUAGGAAGUAUUGAAGUAAAACUUAGGAGAACUUUUAAAAUGUCUUUUUCUAGUUACAAAACAAGAUGUGAGUUUGAGUAACCUUUGGAAUAAGAUGGGGGAAGCAGCAAGAGAAAAAUGACUUAGGUAGUGAGGAUGGGAGGGAGGUAGUCAGAUUUGGUUCCGAGUAUACGAGCUUUGGUGUCGGGGAAGCACUCAAAGCCUGGGAGUUCUGUCACUUCCCCUUCACUGGUUAUGCCAAUCGGAUAGCGGAGGAGGUGACCGGGCAAGUCCCUUUCUAGUGAUUCACUUGAAUACAUAUCCCAAUACUUAUCAGCAAUUCUGUUAACCUUUGCAACACAUUCUUCACUUUCUGGACGAAGGAAAGUUUCGUCAAGCAUACCAAGAUGUUCAUACCAUAGAGCCA
This 408-nucleotide long non-coding RNA is filed under the name Cucumis sativus (cucumber). RNAcentral's name for it is "long non-coding RNA (CSAT_LNC002909)". The record is from RNAcentral. Lineage: Eukaryota; Viridiplantae; Streptophyta; Magnoliopsida; Cucurbitales; Cucurbitaceae.